This 445-nucleotide ribosomal RNA is filed under the name uncultured bacterium. RNAcentral's name for it is "SSU rRNA". It matches the Rfam family "Bacterial small subunit ribosomal RNA", at positions 26 to 518 of the family's 1533-position model. The record is from RNAcentral.
AGAACGAACGCUGGCGGCAUGCCUAACACAUGCAAGUCGAACGAGACCUUCGGGUCUAGUGGCGCACGGGUGCGUAACGCGUGGGAAUCUGCCCUUAGGUACGGAAUAACAGUGAGAAAUUACUGCUAAUACCGUAUGAUGUCUUCGGACCAAAGAUUUAUCGCCUAGGGAUGAGCCCGCGUUGGAUUAGCUAGUUGGUGGGGUAAAGGCCUACCAAGGCGACGAUCCAUAGCUGGUCUGAGAGGAUGAUCAGCCACACUGGGACUGAGACACGGCCCAGACUCCUACGGGAGGCAGCAGUGGGGAAUAUUGGACAAUGGGCGAAAGCCUGAUCCAGCAAUGCCGCGUGAGUGAAGAAGGCCUUCGGGUUGUAAAGCUCUUUUACCCGGGAAGAUAAUGACUGUACCGGGAGAAUAAGCCCGGCUAACUCCGCGCCAGCAGCCGC